Molecule: long non-coding RNA, 5318 nt
Organism: Podarcis muralis (Common wall lizard)
Lineage: Eukaryota; Metazoa; Chordata; Lepidosauria; Squamata; Lacertidae
Source: RefSeq, a predicted model, not a curated record
GGCGGUUUGAGGCGGGGAGGGGGGGUCCAUAAAGGAUUUUCGAAAGUUAUUAAACGCUCCUGUAAGGAUUCGAGUUGCCUCACGUCGGAAGUGCCCAGCGUCUCUGAGGGAACAGGGGACUUGCUGGCCUGAUGGGCAGCUGGCCUGAUCCAGCCGGGCCCGCGUUCUUAUGGAUUGCGAUAAAGGGCCUUUAUCCCAGAGAUAAAUUGGGGAGGGGGGUUAAAAAGAAAGAGAGAGAAAGGUUUCUUCUCUUCUCUCCCCCGCCCCCCCCCCCCGUCCCCGCUUAGGUAGGAGGGAAAUUGAAGGAGAAGGGGUGAGAAACGGGGCGGGAAUAAUAUUAGCAUAAAUUAUUACGACCGGUGAUCUCAUGGAGAGAAAAUGAUUAAUCUGUUCCUGGGGCGCGCGGGGGAGGGGGCUGGCAGAAAGACACGGAUCGAGGCAGGCACGCACGUGCGCACCGCGGGUCAGUUCUGCAAAGGGAAGAGCAGACCUGACAGCUCGGCCCUUCUAAGGAGAGCCCGAUUUUUGCUCCUCGUGCUGGCUGUGUGGCAUGUGGGAGCGGAAACCUCUGGCUCGUGUGGGCACCAACCAACUGUGGAAGCAGCUGCAGAGUAGAAAGAAAACCUUGGUGGGAACCAGGCUGAAGAGCGCGCACGCAGGGCGCGCGGAAGGGUAGGUAGGUGUGGAGCCAUUUUUGGAAGCGCGUUGUUGCAUUGCUCCAGAUCCCUACAUGUUGUGGUCGCCCCUGCUGCUCCUUACUCUUCGGUGCAGUUUCUCGCUCCUCUCUGUUGCCUCGCUGCUGUUUCAGAGUGAACAGGUGUGGGGUUCUUUUCUUGCUUCUGUGGAGGGAAAUGCUAUGCUUUCCUCUUUUGAUACUACACUCCAUAGGGUUGUGGUGGUUUCUGUGAUCAGCAGUGGUUCCUAUGGUCUUAACAGCAGAUACUGUUAUCUCAUAGAGUAAUAUAUGGUGGCUGAAUAGAGUAAUAUAUUUUCAGGUGGCUGAAAUCGAAUCAAAACUUAAAACCUAGAGUCUAAUUGGAGGGGGGUAUUCCUGAAACGUUCCCUAAAUGACUCAAACCUACUCUGAAAGCCUUGUCCUGAAACAGGAUUCAGUGGACUAAAACCACCUGUACAUUCCAAGAACUUGUUCGUACUACGAUGACACAUCAGAUGACAUCCAUGAAAUUGCCUCAUGUUUCUUUGAUGUGGCCAGAUACUUUCAAGUUACCUUUAUUAUGAGGACUAGAAACAUUUCUGUAGUGAGAACUCAGAUUCUUGGACAAAAGCUGGAAAAGAGCUGGAAACUAAAGUAAGUUUUCCAUUGUCAAUUAAUAUGCUUCCGGAACAAAUUUGUAUAGUCUUUGGCUUCAAGUGUCCAAAAUUUUCCAGAAGCAAAGGGUAGUGUUUACUGUGUUUUCUAUAUGAGAUGGAAAACAAAUGUCCAUGUUGCUUGGUUGAUAGUCAUAAUAUUGAAAACUUUACAGAGCUUGGGUAAUUGGAAUACAUAAACCGCCUCAUGAACUCCAAAUAAUGUUGUGUGAUACACAAUGGUAUCUCCUGGAUUUUAGCAGCUAUGAUGAAAUACUAGUCCCUGGAUCCAGGAAGAAGCAUGCUUUAAUGAAUAUAAGACUUAUAACAUGGUUAUUUCCAGAAGGCCAUAUACUUCUCAGGACCAGGUUACUUGAGAGACCACUGUAUUCCUUAUACACCCAGUAGAUCGCAAUGGUCUGUAGGAGAGUUUCUCCUCCCAGUUUCCAAGAUUUCAGAAGCGUACUCUGCAGUAACUCAAGAGCAAGGCUUUUAGUGUGGCUGCUCCUAUUCUGCAGAAUAGCAUUCCUGUCAAGAUAGGUAAGACAAGCACUAUUUGCCCUUUCUGGGGAAAAUUGAAAAAGACAUUUUUGUUCUGACAGGCUUUCCCAGCUGGAUAAAUGGGUAUUUAUCCUGACUGUCCACUUGUUAAGAGAUUUAGUCUUAUUUUAUUUGUACUUGUUUUUGUGUUUUUUAACUGUUUUUAAUUAUGUAUAAAUUGAAACAGUGGUUUACAAGGUGAUUAUACUGAUAAUACUAAUAAUCCUCUGUACACUACUUUGCUUGGUGUUUGUUUUUAUUUCUGCUGACUGCUUAUAUGCUGCUCUGCUGUAUCAUGAUGUAGGAAUGUUUUUGUUUUAAUAGUCUUACUGUAAUUAUUUAAUCUUUCUGUAAGUUGCCCAGGUAAGCUGUUAAAGGAUGGGGUGUAAAUCAAAUAAAUACAAUGCAAUACAAUGUGUUUGUUUAUUUUAUUUUCUUCCUCCAGGGAGCUGAUGGUUGUAUACACAACCCCACAUUUUCCCCCCUUAAAAAAACCCUUAUGUGAUCGGUUUGGCUGAAUGGUACUGAUUUUCCCAAGGACAUAGCCCAUGCAACCCUAUACCUAACCUACUACACCAGAUCUGGAGAUGUGGAAAGGGCACCAAAUUGUAAACAUGCUCAGCCUGGGAGGGGAGCAGUUUUUAAAGUCUUUCCCUUGCAGUAAAAGUCAACAGGAGGGAAAUCCCUUACAGUGGGUCUGGGGGCUGGAGUAAUGUUGCACCAUCGCUGAAGGUUGGCCAUAGCUUGAAGGGUAUCAGAUUUGUUAUGUGUAUGCUCUUCCCCUGUGCAGCCCACACCUCCACUCCAUAUCAUCUGCUGGUGUAUGGGAGGAUUUUACCAGCUAUCCGUCAUACUGGCGGCAUAUCUCAAGUUCUGCCACUGUAACAGCUUCCUCUGAUUCCUGUGGCCCAUUCAGCAGAUCUCAAUAACAUUGUUUAUGGUGAGUUCCAUGGCAGAGGUGAUUGCUGAACUCUCUGGUCAAAAUCCUAUACACUCUCCACCAUAACAUGGAGUGGUCUUGCACUGGUUAUUUGUUUCAGCACAUUGGCAGGGCCAUUAGCAUUGUUCUCUGUCCUCAAGGUUAACCCUACUGCAAGGGGUACACCUGUUCAGAGCUAUUACAACAUAAAAAAAAGAGAGAAACCUUCAAAGUAAAUGGGGGGGGGAUUUCAGAAUAUUGCUGGGGCGGGGUAUCUCAUUCUCUUCCCAUCACUACCUGAACCCUCCAUGCUGAAAGAUAUAUGUAGUAGAAAAGUGCUCAAAACUUCUAAAGUUGCUAAAAGAAUAAGUUAAUUAAAAAAAAAACAAAAUGAUGCAAGCAGAGGCUGUUGAAUUGUUUACUACCAGUUGUGUCAGUAACACUUUACACAGAACUCCAAAGUGUAAUAGGUCUUCCAGUUGUGAAUGUGGACAUGGAAUUUACACUUUCUUAAUGACAAAGUGCUGUGGCUUGAUAAAUGGGGCAGUGUGACAAUUCCUACAAAAGACCCUAUCUUGAGAUCUGGGUUCCCAGCAACAGGUGAGUAACCAAUAUGCACUUAUUUUAGAAUGUAUUUAUCUUUAUUGUUAAUCGCUUCAGGAUGUUUCACAGGAAGUGAUGCAUAAAUUAAAUAGUAGGAGAAGCUGUAAAGCGCUUAAUAAAAAGAACCCCUAUGUAGCAUGCAUAAAAGCAACGCAAAACAACUAUCAGUAAUAUACACAUUAAAUCAGAAAGUUUUAAAAACCAAGUGCAUAGUUAAUUAGGUUAUGUCCUGGUAGACUUACUAGACCAAUUAAUUUUUUAACAGGCAUCUGAAGCACUACAACAAGGGUGCCUGCCUCAUGUUAAUAGGCAGGGAGUUCCAAAGCACACUGGAAGUUCAACUCACAGCUGUGGAGUGAAUAUCAUAUGGCAUUUGUAAAAAGCUCUAGUUAACAAAGCUGGAUCCAGGAGCACCCACACACUGAGUGUUAAGGUCAGAAGAAGGAACCCUCUUGGUAGUUCCACCACCCUCAGAGGUUUGGGGAAUGGUAACGCAGGAGAGGUUCAUUCUCUGUGGCAGAUCCAACAUUGUCAAAUUCCCUUCCCACAGAAGUAGUGUCCUGCACUUUCAUUCUAUGGCUUAGGCUGUAGCCCACCCUGGAACUUUCUGAUAAAGAGUGGGUAACAAACAAACAAACGCCUUCAGAAAGGAGCACAGUCCCAUCCAAGACUAGCAAUUGGCCUGUUUGUUUGACACAAGAGCCAGUCACCCACUCCACUGGGAUUUAAGCUCAGUUUAGUUGUCCUCAUCUAGAAAUGGUUAAAAAAAAAUCUAGAACAACCAUGGUGUCCAGGUACUGGUGCAUAGCCUACAGAGUCAGUGUAGGAGAAUGCCAUGGUCAUUGCUAUCAAAAGCUGAAGUGACACUGAAGGAGCAAGACUGCACUGUCUUUUUUCUGCUCUCGAUAGAGGUCAUCCAUAGGGUAACCAAGGCCAAUUUGGUCCCAUAGCAAGGCCUGAACCCAGAUGGGUUCUAGAAGGAAUGUGUCUAGAAUGAUAACAAGUAUCAGCAAAGCAAGUGGAAUUUGCAAUUGACUGGUAGGUGGUCCAAACCAAUGGUUGUAGGGCUGGCGUUCUUAGGACUGGCCACACCAUUGCCUCUUUCAAGGUGGCAGAGACCGACAGGCAUCAAGAGGGUAUGUAGUCAAUCAGAGAAUAAUGCAUUUUAUUUGUGUUCAGUGCAUAAACUGAAAGGGAUCCUACAGAGCAUUGCAAGAAAUGGCAUUAGGCACUUCAGUUGGAGCUGCAACAACUGCGGAGUCAAGGUCUCUCUCCAAAGCCGAGCAAUUUUAUCCUAAAAAUAUGCAGCUAGUUGGUUACAGCAGGUUCUUGAAGACUCCAGGGAUCCCUCCUCCACAGCAACCUCUGAAUACUCGAAAGAGCUUGGCUUGCUGGCUGCUAGAGGAUGCAGCACAGGUUACAAAGUAUGCUUCUUUUGCUGCCUAUAUUUUCACAUGGCACACACAGUUAUGUGCCCUAACCAGUGUUCAGCUGACCCUAGAACAGGCAUUGAGCUUUUUCUUGCAAUUAAUGAAUAUUGAUCACUGGUAUAAUACAGUCUGGCAAACAGCCUUAAUGGAAAAGUUGUUGUACUGAAGAGGGAAAGGGGAGAGAAAAAACAAGGUAAUUUUACACAGUUUUAGUAUGAUUUUAUUAAAUAUACAAAUGGAGCAACACAUGGACGAGAAAUACCUACAGCAUAUAUUGCAAUAUGGCAUAGAUAAGCAGGCACUACUCAUUAGCUCAUUCCUAUUCCUGUGUGUUUUCCAAAUUGAUUUAUUGAAGAGUUCAUUGGACUGGUAUACUGUAAUCACCUCAGUAAUAUGUACUGUAAAAUAAUACGUUUAGUAUUUUACACACCCCAUGACUCACUUUUUGUCAGUCGUGUCAUGUCUUGUUAUUUAUGUGUGUACAAUUUUGUAACAGAAAUAAAUAUAUUAGAACUAUA